GCCCGUUUGGCGGAAAUGGAAGACGCCCCGGUUUCAGGAACCGGUGUCCGAGAGGGCGUGGGGGUUCGAGUCCCCUGACGGGUACAA
Molecule: transfer RNA, 87 nt
Filed under: Mycolicibacterium aubagnense
Lineage: Bacteria; Bacillati; Actinomycetota; Actinomycetes; Mycobacteriales; Mycobacteriaceae
Description: tRNA-Leu
Rfam family: tRNA
About the family: Transfer RNA (tRNA) molecules are approximately 80 nucleotides in length. Their secondary structure includes four short double-helical elements and three loops (D, anti-codon, and T loops).
Source: RNAcentral